Molecule: non-coding RNA, 118 nt
Organism: Caerostris extrusa
Lineage: Eukaryota; Metazoa; Arthropoda; Arachnida; Araneae; Araneidae
Source: the annotation of a GenBank genome assembly
AACGGCCAUACCAUGCUUGAACAUACCGGUUCUCGUUAGAUCACCGAAGUCAAGCAUCAUUGCGGGCGCGGUCGGUCACUUGGGGUGGGUGACCUCCCUGGGAACACCGCGAGCCGUU